GGGCCCUUCGCCCAGAUGGCCAGGGAAUCCGGUUCAUAACCGGACGGUCGCAGGUUCGAAUCCUGCAGGGCCCA
RNAcentral lists this transfer RNA (74 nucleotides) under Candidatus Eisenbergiella pullicola. RNAcentral's name for it is "tRNA-Met". It matches the Rfam family "tRNA". Rfam says of the family: Transfer RNA (tRNA) molecules are approximately 80 nucleotides in length. Their secondary structure includes four short double-helical elements and three loops (D, anti-codon, and T loops). The record is from RNAcentral. Lineage: Bacteria; Bacillati; Bacillota; Clostridia; Lachnospirales; Lachnospiraceae.